AUUUGGUUUCUUUUUAACUUGUGAUUUGUCUAUGAAUCUUGCCGGGUCUAAACGUGAUUUAAAGGGUAAACAAUACGAUUAUAGUAUUCCUGGCCUGGGGAGCUGUAAAGCUUAGCUCAGUUGCCAGAGGGUAUACUGAACAAAGAGGUGCUGACUUCAACCAUGAUAUGUAUGUGGUCCUGCUGCUCCCAGCUAUUCUGCCUUGGCGGGUCUAUAUGUCCACUCGACGUUGAAAAUGUUCUCUUUGACGGUCCUGAGCGAGAUGUAUCCAGACCUCCUGGGUUUGUGGAUUCUCUGUUUCCAAAAUCCUAACCACUUCCAGAAUCCCAUAAAGCUUUCUAAUUGUUUAAAAUAAGCACGGAAAAGAGACGCCUCGCACUUGGUAUUCUUGCUUGCUUAUACUACUCAAGUCUUAUCAGCAUAUCCUCCCAUGGGAUAACCAUAUAUUUCUGCUCCAAAUUAGCCUUUGAAUAUAUACAUCGCAACAAUUAUUACAAUGGCAUGUUGUUUCGUUCAAUGUGAACGAAUGAAUGAAAGAGGAAUCAUGGGAAACUUUUGAACUUGACAUUCCAGUACUUGGAAUGUUAGGUUGAAGAACAACUGGUGAAAAAGAAAACAAGCGUUAGAUGCCGAGACCAGACUUGAUCUUUUGGUACAUACAUGCUAAAGCAAAAUAUCAAAGAAAAAGAUAAAAAGUAGAUAGAUGCUUCCAGGGGAAAAAAGUUCUCUCUCCUGUAACACCAAGAACAAUCUCGAGCUCUCGAAUUUCCACAUAUUCUGGGGAAGCUCUGGUUUGGAGGCACAUUUUGCAGGGCAGCUCUCCAAAGUUUGUGAGGGCAUAGCACCGAGAGCUUGUUCGAGUUAACUAGCAAAGAGAUGAGGCCAGGAGGACCCGGAGGACCACCAGGGUGGGGCCCUCCUCGGCCGGGGCCGCCAGGAUUUCUCGGUGGCUUUUGCGAUGUCAUAGGCUCUUGUUUCAGCUUGUUGUGCUGUUGCUGGUUGAUACGAGACUGUUUCGGCGGGCCUCUAGGCCCACCAGGCCCCCCGGGACCGCCCGGCCCAUCUGGACCGCCUCACCCUUGAGCUGUCAUGCGAUGCUGGCUCGACCACACGGGAUCACUCGAACUGGCUUCUCUCAUGCCUGGUUUUUGUAUUCUGUGUGUAGUGCAAUAACCAGACUCUAUUUCUCUGUAGGAAAGGAGCGACUUAUAUGAAUUGCCCAUCUCAUGUCCGAAUUCAGUUCUCAGUUUCAACGACACAUUCAUAUAAAUUGUCUAUGGGAAUCCUUUGUUUUCGAUGAUCGGUUGUUCUAGACCAUGUAUUUGAAGUUUAUAUAAGUUAUGGAAGUCUUCAUCAAA
Syzygium oleosum is the source of this 1358-nucleotide long non-coding RNA. RefSeq lists it as uncharacterized. The transcript has 2 exons. The record is from RefSeq and is a predicted model, not a curated record. Lineage: Eukaryota; Viridiplantae; Streptophyta; Magnoliopsida; Myrtales; Myrtaceae.